ACGAACGCUGGCGGCGUGCCUAAUACAUGCCAGUAGAACGCACAGUUUAUACCGUAGCUUGCUACACCAUAGACUGUGAGUUGCGAACGGGUGAGUAACGCGUAGGUAACCUGCCUGGUAGCGGGGGAUAACUAUUGGAAACGAUAGCUAAUACCGCAUAAUAUUAAUUAUUGCAUGAUAAUUAAUUGAAAGGUGCAAUUGCACCACUACCAGAUGGACCUGCGUUGUAUUAGCUAGUAGGUGAGGUGACGGCUCACCUAGGCGACGAUACAUAGCCGACCUGAGAGGGUGAUCGGCCACACUGGGACUGAGACACGGCCCAGACUCCUACGGGAGGCAGCAGUAGGGAAUCUUCGGCAAUGGACGAAAGUCUGACCGAGCAACGCCGCGUGAGUGAAGAAGGUUUUCGGAUCGUAAAGCUCUGUUGUAAGAGAAGAACGGGUGUGAGAGUGGAAAGUUCACACUGUGACGGUAUCUUACCAGAAAGGGACGGCUAACUACGUG
Molecule: ribosomal RNA, 504 nt
Filed under: uncultured bacterium
Lineage: Bacteria
Description: partial 16S ribosomal RNA
Rfam family: Bacterial small subunit ribosomal RNA
Source: RNAcentral